UUUAAUUCGAAGCAACGCGCAGAACCUUACCAGCGUUUGACAUGGCAGGACGACUUCCAGAGAUGGAUUUCUUCCCUUCGGGGACCUGCACACAGGUGCUGCAUGGCUGUCGUCAGCUCGUGUCGUGAGAUGUUGGGUUAAGUCCCGCAACGAGCGCAACCCUCGCCUUUAGUUGCCAUCAUUUAGUUGGGCACUUUAAAGGAACCGCCGGUGAUAAGCCGGAGGAAGGUGGGGAUGACGUCAAGUCCUCAUGGCCCUUACGCGCUGGGCUACACACGUGCUACAAUGGCGGUGACAGUGGGCAGCAAGCACGCGAGUGUGAGCUAAUCUCCAAAAGCCGUCUCAGUUCGGAUUGUUCUCUGCAACUCGAGAGCAUGAAGGCGGAAUCGCUAGUAAUCGCGGAUCAGCAUGCCGCGGUGAAUACGUUCCCAGGCCAUUGUACACUCCGCC
Molecule: ribosomal RNA, 450 nt
Filed under: uncultured Alphaproteobacteria bacterium
Lineage: Bacteria; Pseudomonadati; Pseudomonadota; Alphaproteobacteria
Description: bacterial SSU rRNA
Rfam family: Bacterial small subunit ribosomal RNA
Source: RNAcentral